UGCUGCCUCUGCAGAGCGAUUUGUGAAACUAGUGCAUUCUUUUCCAUACAACUAACAACAACUGGCUUAAAGUCGGUAUUACGGAUGCUUUUGUCUGCCACACAACAGCAGAUAUUUAGCAAUUUCGUUUGUCAAAUUUGCGACACCUUUUGUAUCUGGUGCUGAAUUGUUGCUAACUAUCUGCAAGUGUAAAAUUUGUGAAAUUAAAUUAAUUAACUUGAUUUAGGUAUGUACUAUGGACAGAGCUCAAAUAAUAAAGGGGUUUGGAGUCUAAGGAAAUUAGGUCGGAUACAUACGAAUCAGUGCGUUUGCGACGCUGUCUUCGUGAUUAAGCCUGACCCUUUAAUCUAUCGGAAAGUUUGUUCAGAACACAUUACAGAAUUUCGAAACAUCAAUAUUUACAAUUGUGCUCUGAAUUAAAGCCGUUAAUAACCUAGAUCAUCAAGACGAACAAGAAUAGAAAGUAAAAUGCAAGGUGUUAACAGCAUUGCAAAAUUUCAUACCAGAAACCUGUGGGAAUGAGCUUUUUGCAUUUUGAGUUAAACUGUAGUAAAUCCAAUGCCAUUAGGGAAGUGGCUAUGGCAUUAAACAAUCUUCCAGUUUUAUUGAAACAUUUAAAGUUUCUGCAAACAGUACAAUGGGUCACAAGUUAUUAUAAAUGGGUUUUACAAUAAAUUUGGCUUUCCUGGGGUUUCGGGGUGUAUAGAUGGCACUCAUUUGCACUUAUCAGAUCUUCUGUAUAUGAAGAAAGGUUUUAGAACCGCAAGCAUUAUCAUUUCAAGAAUGUGCAAAUAAUCUGUGAUAGUGAUCUUAACAUUUUAAGUAUUGAUGUAACAUUUCAUGAUACAUUUGUAUGGCUUAACACAACUGAAUAUGCCUAUGCAGGACCUGCACCAUAAUAGUGAAAAAGUUUGGUUUUUAGGCAAGUAAAACAUCAUGAGCUCUGUCUCAGUAACCUGACUACAAAAUAAUACUCAAUCUAAAAGUAUAUUUAAAACUGCGAAGGCCGUUAAUAUAUAGUACUAUAGUAAUGUUUAUUGUCAUACCAGGAACACUGUUGACCAUUGUGAGUAUUGAAAGCCAGUUGGAGAUGCUUGUUGGUACAUAGAGUACUGCAUUAUGAUCAUCAUAUGAUGGCCAAGACCAUAAUUGUUAGCUUGUAUUGCAUAACAUGGUAAACACAUGGGUUUCCAGUGCCCCAACUCUCUGACGAAGAUGCUGAAAUUGAUGUUUCUUAUCAAAUUCAUAACAUUGUAUUUUUUGGGAGAGAAGAGGAAACACAGCACUUAGCACCAUGUCAACAUUCAAGGGUGGUUCAAUUGGAUUGUGGAGAACAGACAUUAAAUUUAGUCCAACCUCUGUAUUCUAGUAAUUUUAUGUAGAUAUUUUUAAAACUGCUGUUCUUAAUUAUGUGAACUGAGAGGGCAAGAAUAGCCUAAUUAUUUCUGCCUAUAAUUUUUUAAUUGUGCUUAGUGGAAAUAUACAUAUUUCCUUAAAAUUUUUGUUUUUAUGGUAAAGGAUGGAUUCAUAACUAUUUGAAAGCAAAAUUGUGAGGUUGUUUUAUUAAGACAAUGUUUUAAUCUGUCGUGCUCAAUUUGUUCUGUAUCAUUUUAUCUUUAUGUUAUAUAUAUUAUUGUAUAUACUGCUGUUUUAAUAAUAUAAUAGAAUGAAUAACAAAUCGACUAGUAAUUCAUAAUUCUUCUAGAUUUUGUUGGAUACUUACAUGAAUAUUACUUACAAAAUGAAAAACAUAAUUCAUAAUUUAGACAAAAUGUGGAUCAACCACCACUGAUUUUUGUUCAUUGUGAUAAUAAUAAUAAUAUAAAUAUAAAUAUUUACUAACAAUCACGCCACGUUAACUGGUCCCGUGGUAAGUUCGUAAAGAACUUGUGUUACAGGUACCAGAUAACGGAAAUAGAUGUAAGAUUUUUAUUAUACACAUAUUUAAUAUAUAUCCAUAACCCUGGAAAAUACAUUUAUAUUUAUCAUACAAAUAUCUUCCCUUGGCGGGAUUCGAACCCGCGACCCCCUUGUGUAGCGACCAUGUCACUUACCACUACACCAGACGGCCGUUAGAUAAGUUUGAUAAUUAUUUUUUUUGUGUAAUUUUGUUUUAUUUGAAUAAUAAUUCUUAAAUUAGGAAA
Bombyx mori (domestic silkworm) is the source of this 2144-nucleotide long non-coding RNA. RefSeq lists it as uncharacterized. The transcript is spliced from 5 exons. The record is from RefSeq and is a predicted model, not a curated record. NCBI's taxonomy places the organism in Eukaryota, Metazoa, Arthropoda, Insecta, Lepidoptera, Bombycidae.